AUGUCUAGAGCAGCAACUAAAACUUUGCUAAAGUCAAAAACACAAGCUAUUCCGACCUUUAUCGCCAGUUGUUUUCGGCUUCCAGUAGCUACGUGUGAAAAGUUCCGCCAGAUUGUGGCCGAUCAAUGGUGGGGACGAGAAGAUGGGAAAAAGAAAAUUCACUGGCGAUCAUGGGACUGGCUCUCGACUCCUAAGUCCCUUGGGGGCAUGGGCUUCCGUGACAUGGGGUUGUUCAAUCAGGCGAUGCUUGGGAAGCAAGGGUGGAGACUUCUUAUUGCGCCUCUUUCGCUUUGUGCGCGGGUUUUGAAGGGGAGGUAUUUUCCAAAUGGUGAUUUCUGGAACGCUUCGGCUCCUCGUACAGCCUCAGCGACAUGGCGUGCGAUUCUGCAUGGUCGUGAUCUUCUGAAGAUGGGGAUUCAGUGGGGUAUUGGGGAUGGAAGGAGUACUCACAUUUUGAUUGACCAUUGGAUCCCC
RNAcentral lists this ribosomal RNA (474 nucleotides) under Triticum aestivum (bread wheat). RNAcentral describes it as "partial small subunit ribosomal RNA". Lineage: Eukaryota; Viridiplantae; Streptophyta; Magnoliopsida; Poales; Poaceae. The record is from RNAcentral.